CGCGGGGUGGAGCAGCACGGUAGCUCGUCGGGCUCAUAACCCGAAGGUCGCAGGUUCAAAUCCUGCCCCCGCAACCA
Molecule: transfer RNA, 77 nt
Filed under: Bacillus cereus ATCC 4342
Lineage: Bacteria; Bacillati; Bacillota; Bacilli; Caryophanales; Bacillaceae
Also listed under: 13 other names
Description: tRNA-fMet (CAT) (tRNA-fMet-CAT-1-1)
Rfam family: tRNA
About the family: Transfer RNA (tRNA) molecules are approximately 80 nucleotides in length. Their secondary structure includes four short double-helical elements and three loops (D, anti-codon, and T loops). Further hydrogen bonds mediate the characteristic L-shaped molecular structure. tRNAs have two regions of fundamental functional importance: the anti-codon, which is responsible for specific mRNA codon recognition, and the 3' end, to which the tRNAs corresponding amino acid is attached (by aminoacyl-tRNA synthetases). tRNAs cope with the degeneracy of the genetic code in two manners: having more than one tRNA (with a specific anti-codon) for a particular amino acid; and 'wobble' base-pairing, i.e. permitting non-standard base-pairing at the 3rd anti-codon position.
Source: RNAcentral